AGCUUGACACUGAACAUUGAGCCUUGAUGUGUAGGAUAGGUGGGAGGCUUUGAAGUGUGGACGCCAGUCUGCAUGGAGCCGACCUUGAAAUACCACCCUUUAAUGUUUGAUGUUCUAACGUGGACCCGUGAUCCGGGUUGCGGACAGUGUCUGGUGGGUAGUUUGACUGGGGCGGUCUCCUCCUAAAGAGUAACGGAGGAGCACGAAGGUUGGCUAAUCCUGGUCGGACAUCAGGAGGUUAGUGCAAUGGCAUAAGCCAGCUUGACUGCGAGCGUGACGGCGCGAGCAGGUGCGAAAGCAGGUCAUAGUGAUCCGGUGGUUCUGAAUGGAAGGGCCAUCGCUCAACGGAUAAAAGGUACUCCGGGGAUAACAGGCUGAUACCGCCCAAGAGUUCAUAUCGACGGCGGUGUUUGGCACCUCGAUGUCGGCUCAUCACAUCCUGGGGCUGAAGUAGGUCCCAAGGGUAUGGCUGUUCGCCAUUUAAAGUGGUACGCGAGCUGGGUUUAGAACGUCGUG
This 516-nucleotide ribosomal RNA is filed under the name Salmonella enterica subsp. enterica. Its description in RNAcentral is "bacterial LSU rRNA". It matches the Rfam family "Bacterial large subunit ribosomal RNA", at positions 2108 to 2623 of the family's 2925-position model. The record is from RNAcentral. Lineage: Bacteria; Pseudomonadati; Pseudomonadota; Gammaproteobacteria; Enterobacterales; Enterobacteriaceae.